RNAcentral lists this long non-coding RNA (473 nucleotides) under Lathyrus oleraceus (garden pea). RNAcentral describes it as "Pisum sativum (pea) long non-coding RNA (PSAT_LNC013169)". The record is from RNAcentral. Lineage: Eukaryota; Viridiplantae; Streptophyta; Magnoliopsida; Fabales; Fabaceae.
CUUCAAGUUUCAUCAUGAUUUGACAUAGAAUCCUCCGAGUCUCCAUCUUAUUUAGAUUUCUCUAACAUUAGGUUUUCAACUUUUGCUGCAUCUGGGACACUUUUGUUGGUUCUUCUUGUCUUUAUUUUUUUGUUUAUAGCAGGCACACGUACUGCAGUCUUUUUUCCUUUCUUUUUUCUUUUUUGAAAAUUCCUAACUUUUUCCUGGAUCUCUCUUUCGAGUUUUCAGUCCAACACAAUGCCCUUUUUCCUAACUCUCCAUUUUUGGUUUUCAACUUAGUGGGCUCUUUUUCUCUUUUUUCUGGCAUAUUUUUUUGAUAGCAUUAGAGUUCACAGGGAGCAGAGACUUCUAUCCAUCAUUGUAAGAAUCAAAGAUAUGCCUCCUCGCUCAUACCCAUUUCCCCUUGAGGGUGAUAAAAAUAAAGACGAUUGACAUCUCAUGGUUGAGGAGUGGUGUCAUGGUGCCCUACAUUU